RNAcentral lists this ribosomal RNA (400 nucleotides) under uncultured Hyphomicrobiales bacterium. Its description in RNAcentral is "bacterial SSU rRNA". It matches the Rfam family "Bacterial small subunit ribosomal RNA", at positions 1 to 433 of the family's 1533-position model. Lineage: Bacteria; Pseudomonadati; Pseudomonadota; Alphaproteobacteria; Hyphomicrobiales. The record is from RNAcentral.
UGACGAGUUUGAUCCUGGCUCAGAACGAACGCUGGCGGCAGGCCUAACACAUGCAAGUCGAACGCUCCGCAAGGAGAGUGGCAGACGGGUGAGUAACACGUGGGAAUCUUCCUAUCGGUACGGAAUAGCUCAGGGAAACUUGAGGUAAUACCGCAUACGCCCUUCGGGGGAAAGAUUUAUCGCCGAUAGAUGAGCCCGCGUCUGAUUAGCUAGUUGGUGGGGUAAUGGCCUACCAAGGCGACGAUCAGUAGCUGGUCUGAGAGGAUGACCAGCCACACUGGGACUGAGACACGGCCCAGACUCCUACGGGGAGGCAGCAGUGGGGAAUAUUGGACAAUGGGCGCAAGCCUGAUCCCAGCCAUGCCGCGUGAGUGACGAAGGUCUUCGGAUUGUAAAGCUC